Long non-coding RNA from Gasterosteus aculeatus aculeatus (three-spined stickleback), 1130 nucleotides. The record is from Ensembl. Lineage: Eukaryota; Metazoa; Chordata; Actinopteri; Perciformes; Gasterosteidae.
CUUGUCUAAAUAACUCAUUACAAUGUUAACAUUGAGUAUUUUGUGGUUAUAUGAUAAUCAAAUGUUUACAUCUGAUCUCCAUCAGUUUACUGUAAAGAUCCUGUAGUUGUACACAAUGUGUCAGAAAACAGCUGGCUCUGCUAAUUGUAUUUAAAAACUGUGAUGUGAUUUAUUAUGUAGAGAGAGAAUGUAGAAUAGGAGAUGAUAACAAGAACUGUGCCAGUGGGCCUCCAGCAAAGUGCCUGUGACAGAGCCAGUGAUGAGGUGGCGUGACAGGAAAUCAGCUACGCUCAUCAACGGCCUCACAUGUGGAUAUCAGGACAGCAUGAAGCCUGUAGAGCUAAACACACAUAUCUACCCACUACAGCUGUGGUCAAACGUUUACAUACACUUGUAAAGAACAUGAUGUCAUGGCUCUCCUUGAGUUUCCCCUUAUUCCUACAAGUCUGAUUUUCCUCUGAUAGAAGAAUCUGUUCCAAUCACUCUGUCACAACAACAUUCAUGAGGUUUGGUUCUUUUAGGACUUAAUUAUGGGUUAACAGAGAACAUGACAGAAUCUGCUGGGUCAUAAAUAUACAUACAGCAGUGAUAAUAUUUGGUCACAUGUCCUUUGGCCAUUUUCACUUCUAUUGGGCGCUUUUGGUGGCCGUCCACAAGCUUCUCGUUGAAUCUUUGACCGCUCCUCUGGACAACAGAAUUGGUGCUGUUCAGUUAAAUGUGAAGGCUCUCUGACAUGGACUUGUUUCUUCAGCAUUGUUCACAUCCACCAGCACCAGAUCCAUUGGCAGCAUAAUACUACCACCACCGUGCUUGGCGGUAGACAUGGGGCGUAUUCCAGAAAGGAGGUUCAACAAACUCUGAGUCUAUCCCUGAACUCCGAGUUGACUUACUCUGAGUAUCCGCUUCCAGAACAGCUGAUCUGCGUUAGUUCAUUCAUUUUUUGGUCUCGUCUGACCACAGAACUUUCCUCCAGAAGGUCUCAUCUUGGUCCACGUGAUCAGCAGCAAACUUCAGUCGAGCCUUAAGGUGGCGCUUUUGGAUCAAGAGCUUCCUUCCUGCACGGCAGCCUCUCCGUCCAUGGAGAUGCCAAACACGACUGUGGACAUGGACACUGUGUUCCAGCAGCUUCU